GGGCCCGCACAAGCGGUGGAGCAUGUGGUUUAAUUCGAUGAUACGCGAGGAACCUUACCAGGGCUUAAAUGUAGAUUGCAUAAGCUAGAGAUAGCUUUUUUCUUCGGACUAUCUACAAGGUGCUGCAUGGUUGUCGUCAGCUCGUGCCGUGAGGUGUCAGUUAAGUCCUAUAACGAGCGCAACCCCUGUCGUUAGUUGCCAACAGGUUAUGCUGGGAACUCUAACGAGACUGCCGGUGCAAACUGAGAGGAAGGUGGGGACGACGUCAAAAUCAUCACGGCCUUACCUGCCUGGGCUACACACGUGCUACAAUGGUCGGUACAGAGAGCAGCCACCUUGCGAAAGG
Molecule: ribosomal RNA, 346 nt
Filed under: uncultured bacterium
Lineage: Bacteria
Description: bacterial SSU rRNA
Rfam family: Bacterial small subunit ribosomal RNA
Source: RNAcentral